Humulus lupulus (European hop) is the source of this 988-nucleotide long non-coding RNA. RefSeq lists it as uncharacterized. Lineage: Eukaryota; Viridiplantae; Streptophyta; Magnoliopsida; Rosales; Cannabaceae. The record is from RefSeq and is a predicted model, not a curated record. The transcript is spliced from 3 exons.
GAGCCUAAACCGUCGACAGUAAUACAGUAUGACAGUAGCAAAACCAUCCAUGUCCUUGGAGAUUCAAGCUCGAAUUGAAGUCAUUCCUUCUCACGCUUUCACCUCCUCAGCCCUCAAAUCUUCUUAUUCUUCUUCCUCAUACGGGAUCCAGAAGUUUCUCUGCUUCUUCAAGGAUUCUCAAGAUAACCUAGAGGAUGUUUUCCUGUGAAAAACGUUGUCCAGGCAUGAUGCCAUUAGGGAAUACUGGUCAGCUGGGAUCGAUGCUGAGAAGGACGAUGUGAGAGUUGGCCAAGCAGCUAAAGAACCAUGUUAGAGUAGUGGUCAGCACUGGGGUUCACCUCUUGAUAAUUAUGUCUCAGAGUUCAAGCAUUCAUCAAUAAGUCUGCCACUAACAAUAUGGCUCAGUCAAUUGGAGGACCCAAAUCUGAGAACAGACAGAAGAAGGCUAGGCUUCCUCCAAGACGAGGUCAGAUCAAAGUGAGGAUAAUGUCAAAGCUUGUAAAGCUGGUGGCUAAAGUUGCCUCAGGAAUUGGAAAAGUACUGAGUGGAAAGAAGGUAAUGACUGAGGAAACACUUCUUCCACAGCCUUAAAGCUCAAACCACUUCUGGUCUGGAAGAAAGGCAUUGCAAUGAUGAUAAUUUCAACAUGGUGUUACACCAAUUAUGACUACACAUUAUAUCAUAUCAGUAGUUCUGUUAAGCAAAUCUUGAGAAUUCUUAUGUGGGUUUUUUAUUCUAGCUCAUGCUCAUUAGACUUACUCUCUCUCUUGAGCUAAAAAUAUAUAGUAUGUGGGCUGUAAAAGCUUUGUAAUCAAGAAACUGGUGAGAAUUAUUAUGUGGUACGUUAUUCUAGCUCAUGCUGAUGUAGACUUAGUCUCUCUCUUUCUCUAAAAUGAUGAAGUAGUGUGUGGUCUGUAAAAGCCUUGUAAUCAAGAAACUGGUGUCUAAAUUUAGAAGAAUCUAAAUAUGCUAUUGACAUUUCUUAUUU